RNAcentral lists this ribosomal RNA (1467 nucleotides) under uncultured Bordetella sp. RNAcentral's name for it is "partial 16S-23S ribosomal RNA intergenic spacer". It matches the Rfam family "Bacterial small subunit ribosomal RNA". Lineage: Bacteria; Pseudomonadati; Pseudomonadota; Betaproteobacteria; Burkholderiales; Alcaligenaceae. The record is from RNAcentral.
GGUUUGAUUAUGGUUCAGAUUGAACGCUGGCGGGAUGCUUUACAUGCAAGUCGACCCAGGCAGCACGGACUUCGGUCUGGUGGCGCGAGGCGAACGGUGAGUAAUGGUCGAACGUGCCUAGUAGCGGGGAUAAUCUGCUACGAAAGCGGUAGCUAAUACCGCACAUUGCCACCCUUCGGGGGAAAGCGGGGACCUUCGGGCCUCUGCACUAUUAGAGCGGCCGAUAUCGGAUUAGCUAGUUGUAGGGUAACGGCUCACCAAGGCGACGAUCCGCAAGCUGCUGGAGAGGACACCAGCCACACUGGGACGAGACACGCCCAGACUCCUACGGGAGGCAGUGGUGGGGAAUUUUGGACAAUGGGGGAAAUCCUGAUCCAGCCAUCCCGCGUGUGCGAUGAAGGCCUUCGGGUUGUAAAGCACUUUGGGUGAAAGAAACGGCACGGGAUAAUACCCCGUGCAACUGAUUAUACCCGCAGAAUAAGCACCGGCUAACUACGCCAGCAGCCGCGGUAAUACGUAGGGUGCAAGCGUUAAUCGGAAAUUAAUAAGGAAGCGUGCGCAGGCGGUUCGGAAAGAAAGAUGAAACUCUGAGCUUAACUUUGAACCCGCAUUUUUAACUACCGAGCUAGAGUGUGUCAGAGGAGGUGAAUUCCGCGUGCAGUGAAAUGCGAUGAUGCGGAGGAACACCGAUGGGCAGAAGGCAGCCUCUGGGGAUAACACUGACGUCAUGCACGAAAGCGUGGGGAGCAAACAGGAUUAGAUAAUUCUGGUAGUCCACGCCCUAAACGAUGUCAACGUAGCCGUUAAAUUUCGGGCCCGGUAGCGCAGCUAACGCGUGAAGUUGACCGCCUGGGGAGUACGGUCGCAAGAUUAAAACUCAAAGAAUUGAUUGGGACCCGCACAAGCGGUGGAUGAUGUGGAUUAAUUGAUGCAACGCGAAAACCUUACUCACCCUUGACAUGUCUGGAAUCCUGAAGAGAUUUGGGAGUGUCGCAAGAGAACCGGAACACAGGUGCUUUCGUAUUGCCGUCAGCUCGUGUCGAGAUGGCGCUGGGUUAAGUCCCGCAACGAGCGCAACCUUGUCAUUAGUUGCUACGAAAGGGCACUCUGACGAGACUGCCGGUGACAAACCGGAGGAAGGUGGGAUGAUGCUCAAGUCCUCACGCUCCUUAUGGGUAGGGCUUCGUCAUACAAUGGUCGGACGCGAGGGUCGCCAACCCGCGGCGAGGGGGAGCCAAUCCUGGCGAACCCGAUCGGGGAACUGGAUCGCAGUUCGCAACUCGACUGCGUGAAGUCGGAAUCGCUAGUAACGCGGAUCAGCAUGUCGCGGUGAAUACGUUCCCGGGUCUUGUACACACCGCCCGUCACACCAUGGGAGUGGGGCUUACCAGAAGUAGUUAGCCUGGGUCCAGGUGAGGGCGAUUACCACGGUAGGAUUCAUGACUGGGGUGAAGUCGUAACAAGGCA